This 253-nucleotide ribosomal RNA is filed under the name uncultured bacterium. RNAcentral's name for it is "partial 16S ribosomal RNA". It matches the Rfam family "Bacterial small subunit ribosomal RNA", at positions 524 to 776 of the family's 1533-position model. The record is from RNAcentral.
UACAGAGGUCUCAACCGUUGUCCGGAAUCAUUGGGCGUAAAGCGCGUGUAGGCGGUCCGGUAAGUCCGCUGUGAAAGUCGGGGGCUCAACCCUCGGAUGCCGGUGGAUACUGUCGGGCUUGAGUACGGAAGAGGCGAGUGGAAUUCCUGGUGUAGCGGUGAAAUGCGCAGAUAUCAGGAGGAACACCAAUUGCGAAGGCAGCUCGCUGGGACGUUACUGACGCUGAGACGCGAAAGCGUGGGGAGCAAACAGG